UACGGAGGGUGCAAGCGUUACUCGGAAUCACUGGGCGUAAAGCGCGCGCAGGCGGCUAGAUAAGUUGGAAGUGAAAUCCUAUGGCUCAACCAUAGAACUGCUUCCAAAACUGUUUAGCUAGAGUCUGGGAGGGGAAGAUGGAAUUAGUAGUGUAGGGGUAAAAUCCGUAGAGAUUACUAGGAAUACCAAAAGCGAAGGCGAUCUUCUGGAACAGUACUGACGCUGAGGCGCGAAAGCGUGGGGAGCAAACAGGAUUAGAUACCCUGGUAGUCCACGCCCUAAACGAUGAAUGUUAGUCGUCGGGACUCUAGUAGUUUCGGUGAUGCAGUUAACACAUUAAACAUUCCGCCUGGGGAGUACGGUCGCAAGAUUAAAACUCAAAGGAAUAGACGGGGACCCGCACAAGUGGUGGAGCAUGUGGUUUAAUUCGAAGAUACGCGAAGAACCUUACCUAGCCUUGACAUAUUUUAGAACUCCGCAGAGAUGUAGAGGUGCCUUCGGGAGCUAAUAUACAGGUGCUGCACGGCUGUCGUCAGCUCGUGUCGUGAGAUGUUGGGUUAAGUCCCGCAACGAGCGCAACCCUCGUUCUUAGUUACUAACGGUUCGGCCGAGGACUCUAAGAAGACUGCCUUCGUAAGGAGGAGGAAGGUGAGGACGACGUCAAGUCAUCAUGGCCCUUACGGCUAGGGCAACACACGUGCUACAAUGGUUAGGACAAUGAGACGCAAUACCGCGAGGUGGAGCAAAUCUAUAAACCUAAUCUCAGUUCGGAUUGUAGUCUGCAACUCGACUACAUGAAGCUGGAAUCACUAGUAAUCGUAGAUCAGCUAUGCUACGGUGA
This 841-nucleotide ribosomal RNA is filed under the name uncultured Sulfurovum sp. Its description in RNAcentral is "bacterial SSU rRNA". It matches the Rfam family "Bacterial small subunit ribosomal RNA", at positions 524 to 1365 of the family's 1533-position model. The record is from RNAcentral. Lineage: Bacteria; Pseudomonadati; Campylobacterota; Epsilonproteobacteria; Campylobacterales; Sulfurovaceae.